RNAcentral lists this ribosomal RNA (716 nucleotides) under uncultured prokaryote. RNAcentral's name for it is "bacterial SSU rRNA". It matches the Rfam family "Bacterial small subunit ribosomal RNA", at positions 754 to 1482 of the family's 1533-position model. The record is from RNAcentral.
CGAAAGCGUGGGGAUCAAACAGGAUUAGAUACCCUGGUAGUCCACGCAGUAAACGAUGAUAACUAGCUGUUUGCGAUACACAGUAAGCGGCACAGCGAAAGCGUUAAGUUAUCCACCUGGGGAGUACGCCGGCAACGGUGAAACUCAAAGGAAUUGACGGGGGCCCGCACAAGCGGAGGAACAUGUGGUUUAAUUCGAUGAUACGCGAGGAACCUUACCCGGGCUUGAACGUAGGGAGACAGUUCUGGAAACAGAAUCUCUAGCAAUAGCUGCCUACGAGGUGCUGCAUGGUUGUCGUCAGCUCGUGCCGUGAGGUGUCGGCUUAAGUGCCAUAACGAGCGCAACCCACAUCGAUAGUUACUAACAGGUUAAGCUGAGGACUCUAUCGAGACUGCCAGCGUAAGCUGUGAGGAAGGUGUGGAUGACGUCAAAUCAGCACGGCCCUUACGUCCGGGGCGACACACGUGUUACAAUGGGAGGUACAAAGGGCAGCUACCUGGCGACAGGAUGCUAAUCUCUAAAACCUCUCUCAGUUCGGAUUGGAGUCUGCAACUCGACUCCAUGAAGCUGGAUUCGCUAGUAAUCGCGCAUCAGCCAUGGCGCGGUGAAUACGUUCCCGGGCCUUGUACACACCGCCCGUCAAGCCAUGGAAGCUGGGGGUACCUGAAGUAUGCAACCGCAAGGAGCGUCCUAGGGUAAAACCGGUAACUGGGGCU